CAAGUCGAGCGAACAGACGAGGAGCUUGCUCCUCUGACGUUAGCGGCGGACGGGUGAGUAACACGUGGAUAACCUACCUAUAAGACUGGGAUAACUUCGGGAAACCGGAGCUAAUACCGGAUAAUAUAUUGAACCGCAUGGUUCAAUAGUGAAAGACGGUUCUGCUGUCACUUAUAGAUGGAUCCGCGCCGCAUUAGCUAGUUGGUAAGGUAACGGCUUACCAAGGCAACGAUGCGUAGCCGACCCGAGAGGGUGAUCGGCCACACUGGAACUGAGACACGGUCCAGACUCCUACGGGAGGCAGCAGUAGGGAAUCUUCCGCAAUGGGCGAAAGCCUGACGGAGCAACGCCGCGUGAGUGAUGAAGGUCUUCGGAUCGUAAAACUCUGUUAUUAGGGAAGAACAAAUGUGUAAGUAACUAUGCACGUCUUGACGGUACCUAAUCAGAAAGCCACGGCUAACUACGUGCCAGCAGCCGCGGUAAUACGUAGGUGGCAAGCGUUAUCCGGAAUUAUUGGGCGUAAAGCGCGCGUAGGCGGUUUUUUAAGUCUGAUGUGAAAGCCCACGGCUCAACCGUGGAGGGUCAUUGGAAACUGGAAAACUUGAGUGCAGAAGAGGAAAGUGGAAUUCCAUGUGUAGCGGUGAAAUGCGCAGAGAUAUGGAGGAACACCAGUGGCGAAGGCGACUUUCUGGUCUGUAACUGACGCUGAUGUGCGAAAGCGUGGGGAUCAAACAGGAU
This 738-nucleotide ribosomal RNA is filed under the name uncultured Staphylococcus sp. Its description in RNAcentral is "bacterial SSU rRNA". It matches the Rfam family "Bacterial small subunit ribosomal RNA", at positions 58 to 778 of the family's 1533-position model. The record is from RNAcentral. Lineage: Bacteria; Bacillati; Bacillota; Bacilli; Caryophanales; Staphylococcaceae.